Microcebus murinus (gray mouse lemur) is the source of this 1660-nucleotide non-coding RNA. The record is from RefSeq and is a predicted model, not a curated record. Lineage: Eukaryota; Metazoa; Chordata; Mammalia; Primates; Cheirogaleidae.
UCGGGGGUCGCUGGGCCCAGCCCCAGGGCGCCGCAGGGGAGACCCCGGGGCCGCGAGGUCCGCCCACGACAAGACAGCGAGGGAGACCACUGUCACUUUCCCCAAAGAGUGAAAUCCCAUUUCAAAAUUGCAAAGCAGUGGGUAAAAUGAAGGCGAAACUUUCCCAAACCAAACUGGGUCCUGUGAAAGGAGACGCCACUCUCGUUCUUCUGACCAGUUUUCAAAUCCUCCAAGUAACUGUGGAAAUUCUUCAGGCAUUUUUUCUGUAUUAUGGAAUAAUGGGGCGUGGGGAGGGAGGGAGCAGUAAAGGAUUUUCAUACUAUUGAUACAUUAAAGACAUUUUUUACUUUAUUUAUUCCUGACAGUCUUCUGAAGGUGGUGAUGUUUUCCAACUGGGUUCAGAGUCGUUAAUAACCAGCUAGAAAAUGCAAGAGGGCUGUCAGUGAAGAUAUGUUUUUAUUUCACUUGGAUAAAUAUCUGGAAGUGGCUUGCUGGGUCAGGUGGAGGGAACAUUGAUUGUGGAAAUCAGAACUGCUGGAGCAACGUCCCUGGGAAGAUGUAGAAAAAAACCAUACGAGAUUCACCUUAACUGAAAGCAUGAACAAUUCAUCCUUAGUAAUGGAGGGGCGAGCAGAGCAUAUGAACAGUGAUACUUGUAGUUGUGGUACUGCAAAUUUGUGGAAGGUCUCCUCAGAUUGGUUCCCUGCUCAGUGAAAAAGCGGCAAGAAAAAGGUAACAGAGACUGAUGAUGGGGGAGGUGGUAUUGGUUGGAGAUCUGAGUAGAAUGGAAAUAUAAAAUAGUUGACGGCCUAGGGAGAGUGAACAGACCAUGGAAACAUUUCUGGGCAGCAUUAAGGCUCAUUUGAGUUGAUGCUCAAAAAUUUAAAAUGAAACUGGUUAUUCAGCUUCAUCAGAAUUCAGUGCAGAAUAAGCAGUGAGAUUUAAUAAGGAUUUAAGUUUUGCCAAAUAAAUAUAAUAAAGGAGAAAAUGAAUGGAGUUGAGAGAGUAUGCAAGGCAGUAAUUAUUAUAAUGUAUUACAAAUUUAGGAUGAGCAGAUAAGGGAGGGCAGUAGGGGAGAGGUACUGUGAAAAGCUCUAGGGUUAACGGAUUGUUAAAUUCUGGUGAAGUCUAAGAAUUGAAGUCAAGGGCCUAUAGGGAGUAAGCCAGAAAAAGGAAAAGUAGUGAGAAAAUAGGAUGCAUGAAAUUGAGACUAAGGAAGGGGUUCAGUUAUUAGUAAUGGGAAAGGAAUAAAUGGCUGAGGCUAAUCCUGCUCAUCAAGAUCAUUAGCAGAGAGGUCAAAGGACUGAGACGUGUCAAUUGGAGAGUAAUAGUAAAUAGAGACUAAACUCUUUGGGGACAAGGAGUGAACCAGGGAUGGUAAAUGACUAUGGGUGGUAUAGUCUGAUGAUCAUGAAAAAUUUAAAGGUGGGGUUUUUUAGGGGAGAGGGAAGGAGAGAAUGGUCUGCAAGUGGCACUACAAAGGUAAGAAAAACCACAAGGUGAUCCUUUUUUAGUUCAUAAGGGUGAUGACUGGGUUUUCACACUCCUAUAUGAGAUGUGCUUACCUUGUUACCAUAGCACAUUAUAAGAAAGAAAGGAAGAAAGGAAGGAAGGGAAAGAAAGAGAAGAAAAGAGAAAGAAAAGUUAAGAAAGGAAGGAA